Trifolium pratense (red clover) is the source of this 3310-nucleotide RNA transcript. It is a transcript of the gene named golgin subfamily A member 6-like protein 6, with no coding region annotated. NCBI's taxonomy places the organism in Eukaryota, Viridiplantae, Streptophyta, Magnoliopsida, Fabales, Fabaceae. The transcript is spliced from 6 exons. The record is from RefSeq and is a predicted model, not a curated record.
ACACACUCUCCAUUCUCACAGUCUCACUGCAACUUCUUUGCCAUAUUCUUCUCUCUAAAACAUUUUCAUUUUUUUUUUCGUUUUCUUUCAUUUUCCACUCUCUCUUUGACCAACCUCAAGAAAUUGGUACUAAAGUUCUUCCCUUUCUGUUUCAGUGUUUGUUACCCUUCACUUUCUAGGAUUUUAUUGUGUGGACUGAAUGCAACAAUUGAAGAAUAGAAUGGCUGUUCAGGGUUCUGAUAAGUUAAAGGUAAAGUUUCGUGGUCGCCACUUAACAUCAUCGUCUGCAAAAAGUACAUUGCAUUCAGAAAUGAAGAAGUCAGUUUCUUAUAAUGACCCUGAUUAUGAUGAUGAUGUUCCAUUGUCGGUAAGGUUAUCCCGGAUGCCGAAUUCUGGAACACCGAGUAGUAACUCUGCUGUUCCUAUUAAGCCGAGUAGUAACUCUGCUGUUCCUAUUAAGCCGAGUAGUCACUCUGCUGUUCCUAUUAAGAAGAGGCGUACUACAACUACAAGGCCAUUGGCAGUUAAGAGGCCAUUUGAUAACAGCAGUUUGUUGAACAAAUGUGUUAAGAAAUCAAAGGUGGCACCAUAUGAUCAUCGAGAUAAAGAUAAAGAUGGUACUCCUUUGUUGAGGAGAACUGAAAUGCCGGUUAAGAAAUUGGAGUCCAUACAGAGAGUUAAUGAGAAGGAACUUAGUUGCGUUGAAAGAAAUAACGAAACUCACAAGAAAGUGGACGAAAAAAAUGGAGAACGUGUCAGGGAUUUUUUAGUAAAGGAAGCGCAACUUGGUUUGAUGGACGAAUUGAUUAGCGAGCGCAAGCAAGAACUUAAGGAACAUGAAACAAAACUUCGUCAAGUCAUGGAUGACAUUGGUAAGGUUUGUGAAAGGAAGGAAGAGUGUACUGCGGAACUUGAGAUCAAAGAGAGACAGCUUGAUGCAAUAAAAAAACAAGUUGAUGAACAAGCAGAAAGAUUAAAGUCGGAAAAUAAAGCUUUAUUGAAGAUAAUGCAAAUAAAUAAGAAUGAUCCACGUGCUCAAAUGAAGGAAUUUGAGUCAACGAAGAAGCAAUUUGAAGAGAAGAUUAGGAAGCUAGAAUCAGAAAAGAAGCAAUUUGAAGAGCGGGUUAAGGAGCUAGAAUCAGAAAAGAAGCAAUUCGAAGGGCAAUUGGAGAAUCUCCGGCUGCUUCAGGACCAAGUAAAGGAAUUAAAAUCAAUGGGGGAUGAAUUUGAAGGCCAGGUGAAAGAAUUUGAAUCAAAAGAGGAGGAAUUGAAAGCUCAAAUGCAGAAGCUCCGAUCAAAAGAAAAGCAACUUCAAAUCCGAGAGAAGGAGGUAGAAUCAGAAAAGAAGCAACUCGAAGGCCGAAUAAAGAACUUUGAUUCAAAAGGAAAGCAACUUGAAAUCCGGGAGAAGGAGGUAGAAUCAGAAAAGAAGCAACUCAAAGGGAAAUUCAAGGAGCUCUGGUCAAAAGAGGAGGAAUUCAAAGCUCGAAUGCAGGAUCUCCGAUCAAACGAAAAGCGGCUUGAAGGCCAAGUGAAGGAAUUUAAAUCGAAGGAGGACGAAUUUGAAGGCCGAAUAAAGAAGCUUGAUUCAAAAGAAAAGCAACUUGAAAUCCGAGAGAAGGAGGUAGAAUCAGAAACAAAGCAACUUGAAGGCCGAAUAAAGACGUUUGAUUCAAAAGAAAAGCAACUUGAAAUCCGGGAGAAGGAGGUAGAAUCAAAAAAGAAGCAAUUCGAAGGCCGAAUACAGGAAUUUGAUUUAGAAGAAAAGCAACUUAAAAUCCAGGUUAAGGAACUAGAAUCAAAAAAGGAGCUAUUUGAAGGGAAACUCAAGGAGCUCUGGUCAAAAGAGGAGGAAUUCAAAGCUCGAAUGCAGGAGCUCAAGCGUUUUGUAAGCCAAAUGGAGGAUUUCAAAUCAGAAGGGAAACACUUUGAAGGACAGGGGAAAGAACUUGAGUCAGAAGACGAGAAGUUGAAAGAGAAGUGGCUUGAGUUUGAUGGACACGUGAAGGAUCUUGAAUCAAAGCCAAAUAAAUUUGAUGGACAACUGAAGCGGCCUUGUUCAAGAGAGAAGCAAUAUGAUGCUUUAAUAGAACUAUUCGACGAAGAAGCAGAAUUGGGUAAUCAAUCAAGUCCCAUCAUUGAGGAAAAUGAUAAAUUUGAGUUGGCUGACAGUGACACUAAAGUUAAUCUGCAAGGAGUAUCAAAUCCAUCAAAAGUUGUUUUGGAAAUAAUACUGCAUCCCACUAUUGAAAAUUGUAAGAUGGGAGACAAUGAUGUGAUUAUCAGUGAUAGCCACAUUCUUCUGCUCGAACAACUGAUGAGAAUGUCACCGCAUAUUGAACCUGAUGUAAGAAAAGAAGCAUUGGAACUAGCACUUGAUUUGAAAGCUAACGCGGAAGAAAAUAAUGAAAAUUAUGUGUCGGUUCUUGGUUUUCUACUCCUUCUGUCAAUUUAUGGAUUGCUUCCUUCUUUCGAUGAAGAUGACGUUUUAAAGUUUUUUGGACUUGUUUCUGAGCACAACAUAGCUAUAGAACUGUUUAGAGCCAUGGGUUUUGCAGAUAAAAUAUCUGAUUUUGUUGCCGGUCUUAUCAAGAGACAUCAAUAUGUUGAAGCUGUUAGAUUCAGUUGUGCAUUUAACUUAAGUGACAAUAAUCAACUACUUGAUCUCUUGCGAGAACAUGUGAAGAAUGCAAAACUGAUUUCUGAGAGCAGUUGCAACAAAACUAACUCCAUUGAAACUAAGGAUAAGGCCAGAGAUCAAGAAAUUGCUAGUCUGGAAACUGUUCUACGAUGCCUUUCAGAUAAUAACCUACAAUUUGAGGAUCUACUUAACGAAGUUGACAAUCGCAUUCUUGAGCUAAGGAGUCAGAAAGGCAUGUAGAUUUUGUGUAGAAUCUUAUCAGGAAGCAGCAACAUACUGAAACUGUAAGAUUCAUUUGUGCAUAUGGUAACUUGGCCUACAAAUAAAGGCAACUAACUUCAUUAAAAUCAAGGACAAAGCCAUUCUAUAUUUUGUGGAUCUACUUAACCAGACUCAAAGUAGGAUUAUUGAGCUAAAUAAAUAGAUAGAAGGGUAAAUAGCAGUUGUAUUGGAAGCAAGGUCAUCCUCCAAAUGUUCAAUGUAAAAAUGAAUUAACCCAAUUUUCUCUAUUCCACUCUGUCCAAAUGUUCAAUGUAAAAGUGAAUUAACACAAUUUUCUCUAUUCCACUCUGUUGAAAUAUUGUAAUAAUUGUUCAGAUACUAUUCCUUUUUAGUUGAUUUUCCCCCUUUAGGGAUUGAGUAGGUUAAGAAUCAUGUAUAUAUGCUUAA